GAUCCUGGCUCAGGAUGAACGCUAGCGGCAGGCUUAACACAUGCAAGUCGAGGGGCAACGCGAGUAGCAAUACUUGGCGGCGACCGGCGCAAGGGUGCGUAACGCGUGAGCAACAUGCCCGUAUCAGGGGGAUAAUCCAGGGAAACUUGGUCUAAUACCCCAUAGUAAUUUUGUAAGGCAUCUUAUAAGAUUUAAAGCUUUGGUGGAUACGGAUUGGCUCGCGUGACAUUAGCUGGAUGGUAAGGUAACGGCUUACCAUGGCUAUGAUGUCUAGGGGUUCUGAGAGGAAGGUCCCCCACACUGGAACUGAGACACGGUCCAGACUCCUACGGGAGGCAGCAGUGAGGAAUAUUGGACAAUGGAUGGAAAUCUGAUCCAGCCAUGCCGCGUGAAGGAAGAAGGUCCUAUGGAUUGUAAACUUCUUUUGUAUGGGAGCAAUAAGGCCUACGAGUAGGUUGAUGAGAGUACCAUACGAAUAAGCACCGGCUAACUCCGUGCCAGCCGCAGC
Molecule: ribosomal RNA, 508 nt
Filed under: uncultured bacterium
Lineage: Bacteria
Description: bacterial SSU rRNA
Rfam family: Bacterial small subunit ribosomal RNA
Source: RNAcentral